This 366-nucleotide RNase P RNA is filed under the name Wenzhouxiangella sp. RNAcentral describes it as "RNase P RNA component class A". It matches the Rfam family "Bacterial RNase P class A". Rfam says of the family: Ribonuclease P (RNase P) is a ubiquitous endoribonuclease, found in archaea, bacteria and eukarya as well as chloroplasts and mitochondria. Lineage: Bacteria; Pseudomonadati; Pseudomonadota; Gammaproteobacteria; Chromatiales; Wenzhouxiangellaceae. The record is from RNAcentral.
AGAGUCGGCCGGACAGUCGCUGUGCCGUUACGGCAUGGAGGAAAGUCCGGGCUCCGCAGGGCAGGGUGCCAGGUAACGCCUGGGGGCGGUACUGGUGACGGUACCGCUACGGAAAGUGCCGCAGAAAACAAACCGCCGAUGGCCUCUUCACCGAGGCACAGGCAAGGGUGAAAAGGUGCGGUAAGAGCGCACCGCGUGGCUGGCAACAGGCACGGCACGGUAAACCCCACCUGGAGCAAGGCCAAAUAGGGGUGCGAUGGCGUGGCCCGCGCCGCAUCCGGGUAGGCCGCUAGAGGCGACCGGCGACGGUCGUCCCAGAUGAAUGACUGUUCUCGACAGAACCCGGCUUACAGGCCGGCUCUUCCU